Molecule: ribosomal RNA, 544 nt
Filed under: uncultured bacterium
Lineage: Bacteria
Description: bacterial SSU rRNA
Rfam family: Bacterial small subunit ribosomal RNA
Source: RNAcentral
AAUAGAUACCCGGGUAGUCCAUGCUGUAAACGAUGAGAACUAGAUGUUAGGGGGCAUGACCUCUUAGUAUCGAAGCUAACGCGAUAAGUUCUCCGCCUGGGGAGUACGGCCGCAAGGUUAAAACUCAAAGAAAUUGACGGGGGCCCGCACAAGCGGUGGAGCAUGUGGUUUAAUUCGAUGCAACGCGAAGAACCUUACCUACCUUUGAAUCCACGGAACCUAGCAGAGAUGUUGGGGUGCCUUCGGGAACCGUGAGACAGGUGCUGCAUGGCUGUCGUCAGCUCGUGUCGUGAGAUGUUGGGUUAAGUCCCGUAACGAGCGCAACCCUUGUCCUUAGUUGCCAUCAGGUUAUGCUGGGCACUUUAAGGAGACUGCCGGUGAUAAACCGGAGAAGUGGGGAUGACGUCAAGUCCUCAUGGCCCUUACAGGUAGGGCUACACACGUGCUACAAUGGGCAGUACAGAGGGAAGCCAAACCCGGCGAGGGGGGAGCGAAUCUCAUAAAAGCUGUUCGUAGUCCGGAUUGGAGUCUGCAACUCGACUCC